This 497-nucleotide ribosomal RNA is filed under the name uncultured bacterium. RNAcentral's name for it is "partial 16S ribosomal RNA". It matches the Rfam family "Bacterial small subunit ribosomal RNA", at positions 28 to 507 of the family's 1533-position model. The record is from RNAcentral.
GAUGAACGCUGGCGGCGUGCCUAAUACAUGCAAGUCGAGCGAACGGACGAGAAGCUUGCUUCUCUGAUGUUAGCGGCGGACGGGUGAGUAACACGUGGAUAACCUACCUAUAAGACUGGGAUAACUUCGGGAAACCGGAGCUAAUACCGGAUAAUAUUUUGAACCGCAUGGUUCAAAAGUGAAAGACGGUCUUGCUGUCACUUAUAGAUGGAUCCGCGCUGCAUUAGCUAGUUGGUAAGGUAACGGCUUACCAAGGCAACGAUGCAUAGCCGACCUGAGAGGGUGAUCGGCCACACUGGAACUGAGACACGGUCCAGACUCCUACGGGAGGCAGCAGUAGGGAAUCUUCCGCAAUGGGCGAAAGCCUGACGGAGCAACGCCGCGUGAGUGAUGAAGGUCUUCGGAUCGUAAAACUCUGUUAUUAGGGAAGAACAUAUGUGUAAGUAACUGUGCACAUAUUGACGGUACCUAAUCAGAAAGCAACGGCUAACUACGUG